RNAcentral lists this ribosomal RNA (253 nucleotides) under uncultured bacterium. RNAcentral's name for it is "partial 16S ribosomal RNA". It matches the Rfam family "Bacterial small subunit ribosomal RNA", at positions 524 to 776 of the family's 1533-position model. The record is from RNAcentral.
UACGUAGGGUGCAAGCGUUGUCCGGAAUUAUUGGGCGUAAAGAGCUCGUAGGCGGUUUGUUGCGUCGGCUGUGAAAUCCCGAGGCUCAACCUCGGGUCUGCAGUCGAUACGAGCAAACUAGAGUGUUGCAGGGGAGACUGGAAUUCCUGGUGUGGCGGUGAAAUGCGCAGAUAUCAGGAGGAACACCGGUGGCGAAGGCGGGUCUCUGGGCAACAACUGACGCUGAGGAGCGAAAGCGUGGGGAGCGAACAGG